This 1343-nucleotide ribosomal RNA is filed under the name uncultured bacterium. RNAcentral describes it as "16S ribosomal RNA". It matches the Rfam family "Bacterial small subunit ribosomal RNA", at positions 28 to 1378 of the family's 1533-position model. The record is from RNAcentral.
GACGAACGCUGGCGGCGUGCUUAACACAUGCAAGUCGAACGGAAAGGCCCUGCUUUUGUGGGGUGCUCGAGUGGCGAACGGGUGAGUAACACGUGAGUAACCUGCCCUUGACUUUGGGAUAACUUCAGGAAACUGGGGCUAAUACCGGAUAGGAGCUCCUGCUGCAUGGUGGGGGUUGGAAAGUUUCGGCGGUUGGGGAUGGACUCGCGGCUUAUCAGCUUGUUGGUGGGGUAGUGGCUUACCAAGGCUUUGACGGGUAGCCGGCCUGAGAGGGUGACCGGCCACAUUGGGACUGAGAUACGGCCCAGACUCCUACGGGAGGCAGCAGUGGGGAAUAUUGCACAAUGGGCGGAAGCCUGAUGCAGCAACGCCGCGUGCGGGAUGACGGCCUUCGGGUUGUAAACCGCUUUCGCCUGUGACGAAGCGUGAAUGACGGUAAUGGGUAAAGAAGCACCGGCUAACUACGUGCCAGCAGCCGCGGUGAUACGUAGGGUGCGAGCGUUGUCCGGAUUUAUUGGGCGUAAAGGGCUCGUAGGUGGUUGAUCGCGUCGGAAGUGUAAUCUUGGGGCUUAACCCUGAGCGUGCUUUCGAUACGGGUUGACUUGAGGAAGGUAGGGGAGAAUGGAAUUCCUGGUGGAGCGGUGGAAUGCGCAGAUAUCAGGAGGAACACCAGUGGCGAAGGCGGUUCUCUGGGCCUUUCCUGACGCUGAGGAGCGAAAGCGUGGGGAGCGAACAGGCUUAGAUACCCUGGUAGUCCACGCUGUAAACGGUGGGUACUAGGUGUGGGGUCCAUUCCACGGGUUCCGUGCCGUAGCUAACGCUUUAAGUACCCCGCCUGGGGAGUACGGCCGCAAGGCUAAAACUCAAAGGAAUUGACGGGGCCCCGCACAAGCGGCGGAGCAUGCGGAUUAAUUCGAUGCAACGCGUAGAACCUUACCUGGGUUUGACAUGGAUCGGGAGUGCUCAGAGAUGGGUGUGCCUCUUUUGGGGUCGGUUCACAGGUGGUGCAUGGCUGUCGUCAGCUCGUGUCGUGAGAUGUUGGGUUAAGUCCCGCAACGAGCGCAACCCUUGUUCACUGUUGCCAGCACGUUAUGGUGGGGACUCAGUGGAGACCGCCGGGGUCAACUCGGAGGAAGGUGGGGAUGACGUCAAGUCAUCAUGCCCCUUAUGUCCAGGGCUUCACGCAUGCUACAAUGGCUGGUACAGAGAGUGGCGAGCCUGUGAGGGUGAGCGAAUCUCGGAAAGCCGGUCUCAGUUCGGAUUGGGGUCUGCAACUCGACCUCAUGAAGUCGGAGUCGCUAGUAAUCGCAGAUCAGCAACGCUGCGGUGAAUACGUUCCCGGG